Gossypium hirsutum (cotton) is the source of this 134-nucleotide non-coding RNA. The record is from Rfam. NCBI's taxonomy places the organism in Eukaryota, Viridiplantae, Streptophyta, Magnoliopsida, Malvales, Malvaceae.
GGUUGAAAAUUUUGUCCAUUUCUACAGUUAAAAAUCAAUGUAGCUAGCAAAAUAAUCAGAUAGUUAUUCGUGGUAUCUCAUGCUAACAUGCACAGAUCAGUUUUUAAUGGUAGAAAUAGAUUAAAUUUUUAAUA